GGAUGUGAGGGUGAUCUGACUGUGACAUCUGUCACCUCAUUGAUGGCCAGGGUUGAUUUGGCUGGUGUGGAGGGCUAGGCAGGUGUCCUCUUCCUCCCUCAAUGCUCCAUGUGUGGCCCUCCCUAAGCUGAGUGCUCCAUUGAGGAGGAUGACCACCCCUGAUAGAGGAGGAGCAUUCCUUCCUUAGUCAAGUGCAUACAAGUAGCUGCACUUCCCUGCUAGAAUCUCCAAACAAGCUCUCAAAAUUUAUGGUGAUGCUCAAAUGGGAAAUUUCUUUACUGUGAAAGACAAAGUAUU
RNAcentral lists this small nuclear RNA (297 nucleotides) under Octodon degus (degu). Its description in RNAcentral is "7SK RNA (ENSODEG00000023947.1)". It matches the Rfam family "7SK RNA". From Rfam's summary of the family: 7SK was discovered as an abundant small nuclear RNA in the mid-70s but a possible function has only recently been suggested. Two independent studies have found that 7SK RNA binds the CDK9/cyclin T complex (known as elongation factor P-TEFb). P-TEFb activates transcription by phosphorylating the C-terminal domain of RNA polymerase II. Lineage: Eukaryota; Metazoa; Chordata; Mammalia; Rodentia; Octodontidae. The record is from RNAcentral.